Drosophila virilis is the source of this 598-nucleotide non-coding RNA. NCBI's taxonomy places the organism in Eukaryota, Metazoa, Arthropoda, Insecta, Diptera, Drosophilidae. The record is from RefSeq and is a predicted model, not a curated record.
CUAGAGUUUUCUAGUAGACUAUGAGAUACCUCGUGUUAAAAAGUGCUUAUGUUGAUUUGCCCGAAAAUCCUUACACGCGACAAACUCUGAUUAGUCUAGUGCCAGUGUUGGUCAACUUCAGCGGCUUAUCAAGCAUUGUGACAACUUUACUUUUUACAAUGAGAAAUUCUUGUGCUGUUUAAAUAACCAGACUGUCAACAGAGCGUAGAGAAACCUGGCGUGAAUUAAAUACUUUAAGGUUCGAAUUUUAGUUAAGCCCUUCAGAUGUUGGGUAUAAUUUGUAUGCAGCAAGAAAGUGAAGCGGCAAUUGUAAAAUGCAAAAUGCAAUUCAAAAAUUCAUCUAAAAAUGCACUCGACUUAGAGUUUGUCAGUGCAGUGUUGCAGAUGACAGCAAUAAAAUGCAGGUGCUGCAUCUCAAACCGAGACAAGUGGGUUUUAUCUGUGCAAUUCAAUGGUCAAGCCCAUGCAUUGGGUACAGUUGACAACACUGUUAACUAACAGCGUCUAUGUGCAAUUUAUAUAACAUUUGCUUUGGUUGCUCGUAAAAGAAACUUUGAUUAAACUUCAAAUAAACGAAGGCUGUCGGCAAUAAACAGUC